AUGAGAGGGUGAUCGGCCACACGGGAACUGAGACACGGUCCAGACUCCUACGGGAGGCAGCAGUAGGGAAUCUUCCGCAAUGGGCGAAAGCCUGACGGAGCAACCGCCGCGUGAGUGAUGAAGGUCUUCGGAUCGUAAAACUCUGUUAUUAGGGAAGAACAUAUGUGUAAGUAACUGUGCACAUCUUGACGGUACCUAAUCAGAAAGCCACGGCUAACUACGUGCCAGCAGCCGCGGUAAUACGUAGGUGGCUAGCGUUAUCCGGAAUUAUUGGGCGUAAAGCGCGCGUAGGCGGUUUUUUAAGUCUGACGUGAAAGCCCACGGCUCAACCGUGGAGGGUCAUUGGAAACUGGAAAACUUGAGUGCAGAAGAGGAAAGUGGAAUUCCAUGUGUAGCGGUGAAAUGCGCAGAGAUAUGGAGGAACACCAGUGGCGAAGGCGACUUUCUGGUCUGUAACUGACGUUGAUGUGCGAAAGCGUGGGGAUCAAACAGGAUUAGAUACCCUGGUAGUCCACGCCGUAAACGAUGAGUGCUAAGUGUUAGGGGGUUUCCGCCCCUUAGUGCUGCAGCUAACGCAUUAAGCACUCCGCCAGGCGAGUACGACCGCAU
Molecule: ribosomal RNA, 609 nt
Filed under: uncultured Staphylococcus sp.
Lineage: Bacteria; Bacillati; Bacillota; Bacilli; Caryophanales; Staphylococcaceae
Description: bacterial SSU rRNA
Rfam family: Bacterial small subunit ribosomal RNA
Source: RNAcentral